Molecule: non-coding RNA, 443 nt
Organism: Cinara cedri
Lineage: Eukaryota; Metazoa; Arthropoda; Insecta; Hemiptera; Aphididae
Source: the annotation of a GenBank genome assembly
AGUUAUUGUGCGAAAAAAAAACAGACAAAACUGAUCGUAUCAUUGAAAUUUGCAAUUCAAUUGAACCGUAAGCACAACUACCUACAUAAUACAAUAUUAUGUUUAUUUUCAAUAACGUGUUUUAUUUUUAUGUAAUUUGUACAGGAUAUUUUUUUUUUGUCGGCUGUCAAACAUGUCGGAUAGGUACGUGUUUGAUACGAUUGGAUAGAAACGUUCGUGUUUUCAAAUCGCGUCCGUGUAUUUUACACAAGUUUCACGCCAUCGUGCAGUAUGGAAGUCUGUUGUGAAUAAACCAUGGGUAUUACUGGAUGUAUUUCAAGAAUACAUUAUUAUGUAUUAUGUAUAUUGCAGUUGUACGUGUAAAAAAAAAAAAAAACCGAAAUUCAAAUAUACUAACGUGAAAAUAAACAAAGUAACUGUAGAGUUGGGUGAAUACUCGAAUU